AACGAACGCUGGCGGCAUGCCUAACACAUGCAAGUCGAACGAGACCUUCGGGUCUAGUGGCGCACGGGUGCGUAACGCGUGGGAACCUGCCCUUAGGUUCGGAAUAACUCCCCGAAGGGGGUGCUAAUACCGGAUAAUGUCUUCGGACCAAAGAUUUAUCGCCUUUGGAUGGGCCCGCGUUGGAUUAGCUAGUUGGUAGGGUAAAAGCCUACCAAGGCGACGUUCCAUAGCUGGUGGGAGAGGAGGAUCAGCCACGCUGGGGAUGAGACACGGCCCAGUAUGGGACGCAGGGGAGGAGAAGGGAGUAUAGGGCGAGGAGCGAUAACCUAAUCCCGCAGUGCCGGGGAAGAGAGCAAGCGGGUAGGAUUGUAAAGCCCUUUGUCACGGGAUGUGAGUGACGGUAAUGGGAGAAGAAGCUCCGGCUAACUCCGUG
This 433-nucleotide ribosomal RNA is filed under the name uncultured bacterium. RNAcentral describes it as "partial 16S ribosomal RNA". It matches the Rfam family "Bacterial small subunit ribosomal RNA", at positions 29 to 507 of the family's 1533-position model. The record is from RNAcentral.